Molecule: ribosomal RNA, 253 nt
Filed under: uncultured bacterium
Lineage: Bacteria
Description: partial 16S ribosomal RNA
Rfam family: Bacterial small subunit ribosomal RNA
Source: RNAcentral
UACGGAGGGUGCGAGCGUUGUCCGGAUUUAUUGGGUUUAAAGGGUGCGUAGGUGGUUUCUUAAGUCUGGUUUGAAAGUCAGCGGCUUAACCGUUGGAUGUGGCUGGAAACUGGGGGACUUGAAUGGGCUGGAGGUCACUGGAACGGGUCAUGUAGCGGUGAAAUGCAUAGAUAUGACCCAGAACACCAAUUGCGAAGGCAGGUGACUACGGUCUGAUUGACACUGAGGCACGAGAGCAUGGGGAGCGAACAGG